RNAcentral lists this ribosomal RNA (531 nucleotides) under uncultured Ascomycota. RNAcentral describes it as "eukaryotic LSU rRNA". The stretch from base 193 to 344 matches the Rfam family "5.8S ribosomal RNA". Lineage: Eukaryota; Fungi; Ascomycota. The record is from RNAcentral.
CUUGGUCAUUUAGAGGAAGUAAAAGUCGUAACAAGGUCUCCGUAGGUGAACCUGCGGAGGGAUCAUUAUUGAGUGGUCUUUGACCUUCUACCCCUCAAACCUGUGGGAGCUAAAAACGUGCUUCGGGGCCCUUUUUGGGCGCCGCUUUUAUGCAUAAAUCCGUGUGUCGUCUGAAUCAUACACAAGAAUCAAAACUUUCAACAAAGGAUCUCUUGGCUCUCGCAUCGAUGAAGAACGCAGCGAAGCGCGAAAUGUAGUGUGAAUCGCAGAACAUUGUGAAUCAUCGAAUCUUUGAACGCACAUUGCGCCUCCCUUAACAGGGAGGCAUGCCUGUCUGAGUCUCAUUUAAUCUAUAAACCCGAUUGGGUUUGUGCCUGGGCGUUCGCUUGACCGGCGUCGCCUCAAAGUCAUCUGUCUUAUGAGCGGACGAGAUCCUUUUGGACUGACCGUUUGUGGGACCCUAAAUCUCUGAUUUGAGCUCAGAUCAGGUAGGACUACCGCCUGAACUUAAGCAUAUCAAUAAGCGGAGGA